UAACCUGCCCAAGAGAUCGGGAUAACACCUGGAAACAGAUGCUAAUACCGGAUAACAACAGAUGAUGCCUAUCAACUGUUUAAAAGAUGGUUCUGCUAUCACUCUUGGAUGGACCUGCGGUGCAUUAGCUAGUUGGUAGGGUAACGGCCUACCAAGGCGAUGAUGCAUAGCCGAGUUGAGAGACUGAUCGGCCACAUUGGGACUGAGGACACGGCCCAAACUCCGUAGGGAGGCAGCAGCG
This 241-nucleotide ribosomal RNA is filed under the name uncultured Lactobacillus sp. RNAcentral describes it as "partial 16S ribosomal RNA". It matches the Rfam family "Bacterial small subunit ribosomal RNA", at positions 122 to 356 of the family's 1533-position model. The record is from RNAcentral. Lineage: Bacteria; Bacillati; Bacillota; Bacilli; Lactobacillales; Lactobacillaceae.